Long non-coding RNA from Lolium perenne, 932 nucleotides. RefSeq lists it as uncharacterized. The record is from RefSeq and is a predicted model, not a curated record. Lineage: Eukaryota; Viridiplantae; Streptophyta; Magnoliopsida; Poales; Poaceae.
ACGCAGAUUGUCAUAUAACAUAAUGAAUGCACCACUGUAAGAUUGCUUGCUGGUACUAUUUAUCAAGGCGGGUGAUGGCGGCAGCAGCGGCCUCGGGUGGUGGAGGAUGGUGUCUGUCGAGGCACCAACAGGUGCAGCUUGUUGGUUGUGGCUUGGCAAGCGUCGUCUCGGUGAGUGCCAGUGCGGCUUCUUCUUUUUUCCUUCCGGGCACUGGAGUAUUACAUGCCCUUUUUGGAUGAGAUUUGUGUAUCCACGUGCUGCUGCCCAUCUACAUGACUUGAGGUUGUCCCGUUUGUUCUAGCGGAGGCAGGUCUUUUGUGAGGAUUGUAGCUGCAGGAGAUAGGGUCAGUACACCAGAUUUCAGCAUCACAGUCAUUGUCCUGGUUGCCGCAGUGGUGCUUCUCCGCACAGGUGCCGGUGGUUGCGACUGUCGACAAUUGUGUGUCAUACAACAUGUCCAUCACAUGUUUGAUCAGGCUGCCUCAGUGACGGUUAUGACCGUGGCGUAGGUCACUUAUUGCUGCAAUAGCUGGGGAGGUUGGAAAGGAGCGUGAAUUGUAUGGCCAGUCUCUUGUAAUCAUCCUCCCUAAACUUUGAUUUGAUAUUUCUGCAUCUGUUGUACUGCAAUUUAAUUUUCGUGGAGCGGGUCCGAAGCAGUUGGGUAGCUGCCCUCAAAUUAGGUGGGAGUUGCUUACUGUACAGCAAAGUAGGGUAUUAGCUUGAUGGUCUAUUUUGCAAGAUAAAGCCAGUGCACAUGUUUAGAUUUCUAAUUUUAAUUCGAUAGUUUUUGUAGGAUUGCUUGCAUAGGCAUUAAUAUUUUUUAUUACAUCUCUUUUAUUACAUCUAUUUCGAGACACUAUGCUCGUUAUGCUUUUAGUCAUACUUAUCAUUUUGUUCUAGCUGGGCCCUCACUUUUCCCCUUGACCCCAGCC